RNAcentral lists this transfer RNA (78 nucleotides) under Dyadobacter helix. RNAcentral describes it as "Dyadobacter sp. CECT 9275 tRNA-Asn". It matches the Rfam family "tRNA". Rfam says of the family: Transfer RNA (tRNA) molecules are approximately 80 nucleotides in length. Their secondary structure includes four short double-helical elements and three loops (D, anti-codon, and T loops). Further hydrogen bonds mediate the characteristic L-shaped molecular structure. tRNAs have two regions of fundamental functional importance: the anti-codon, which is responsible for specific mRNA codon recognition, and the 3' end, to which the tRNAs corresponding amino acid is attached (by aminoacyl-tRNA synthetases). tRNAs cope with the degeneracy of the genetic code in two manners: having more than one tRNA (with a specific anti-codon) for a particular amino acid; and 'wobble' base-pairing, i.e. permitting non-standard base-pairing at the 3rd anti-codon position. Lineage: Bacteria; Pseudomonadati; Bacteroidota; Cytophagia; Cytophagales; Spirosomataceae. The record is from RNAcentral.
CUCCUGAAUAGCUCAGCCGGUUAGAGCAUCUGACUGUUAAUCAGAGGGUCGUUGGUUCGAGCCCAACUUCGGGAGCCC